This is a long non-coding RNA of Lucilia cuprina (Australian sheep blowfly), 367 nucleotides long. RefSeq lists it as uncharacterized. Lineage: Eukaryota; Metazoa; Arthropoda; Insecta; Diptera; Calliphoridae. The record is from RefSeq and is a predicted model, not a curated record. The transcript has 3 exons.
UUAAAUGAUUGAUGUAAAAAACGUGCUUCUUUUGACACCAUCCCCCAACUACUGCUGUUACAUGACGAUAUUUAUGAGAAAAAACUGCUCUUGCCGCUGUCUUUAACUGCUCGAUAACCAAAUACAUAGUUGAUGGCUAAAGUCUAAAUAGACUAAACAAUUUGUAGCUUUCAAAUCCUGCAAAGUAUGGAGAUUAAGGGAACACAAUGUCCAUAAACUGUAGUAGCCAUAUUUGUUAUUAAAACAAAAUAUUACUCGAUUAAUUUGAAGUAAUAGAAGAUGCUAAAGGACUAUUUCAACACAACAAUUACAUUUUAAAAGAAAAUGCAAAAGCAUAUUUUUGCAUAAUUUGAAAUAUGUAAUUUUU